UCCUCUCUCUGGUGUGGUCCAUUCUCUGUAAGGUUGUAUGGUAGUUGACCAGAAUGUGCAAUAUUUCAGCAGGUUGAGGCUGUAUACAAGGGUCUCUGGAAGCGGCGUGUCUGGAAACCGUGAAUAAGGAUCUCUGGGCUGCGUGCUUAGGACCUUAUCCGUCCCUUCGAAGGCCCCAAGGCCCCUCUGGAAGCUGUGUGUCUGUAAGCCAUAAAUAGGGAUCUCUGGGCUGCGCGCUCGGGACCUUAAACAUCCCUUCAUAGGACCCAGAGGUUGGGCAGCCCAGAAAUCUUUAUUCGUGGCUUCCAGACAUACAGAUUUCAGAGACCCUUGUAUACA
Non-coding RNA from Pelobates cultripes (western spadefoot toad), 339 nucleotides. Lineage: Eukaryota; Metazoa; Chordata; Amphibia; Anura; Pelobatidae. The record is from the annotation of a GenBank genome assembly.